GCACAGAAAAGGGGCCUCACUGUGCAGGGAAUGGAGCAUUCCAUUGAUAUAUACACUGUGGCCUACCAGCCAAGUUUAGCAAGCAAGAAGGAAGUGAACUGACAAAUAGCACACAUUGCCAGUGAUGUGAGUGAGUGACUUCCCUGCUGGACUGGCUGACAGCUCCAGCACUCCAGAGGCAUUCUCCAGUGCUCAGUGUCAUUCACAGCGUGGCAACUACAAAUGUGGCAGCACUGUAGAAUUUAAUCUGCACUGUGACAUUCGUCCCCAUCAACUUCUUCAGUCUAGAUGUGCAAUCAAAGGACACAGCCAUUCUUUGUGGGACCUGCUGAUUCCUUGCUCUGAAACCUCUCUUCUGGGCUGAUCUACAACAUCCUGAGACACAACGUCAGGAAGAGGUACUAAGCAACCCAGCCUAGCAGCACUGCUGGCCGUCACACAGCAUGGCGGGCUUGGCCAUCACACAGCAUGGCAGGACAGCAGGCCAUCACACAGCAGGGCGGGCUUGGCCCUGAUGGCGCUCACACAAGGAGGAAGCUGAAGUCUCUUUGCCACAAUGGGAACCCUUCAACAAACAAGACCUACCCUCUGCAGAAGGCUGCUUAGCGUGUAUCCACGUGUGUUCCGGUGGUUCACCUCUCUGUCACAACGAGAUCCUCACUGUCCUCUGUCAGCCACAUGCUGUCCUCUCCCUGGGAGGAAUUCAGGCAAGUGUAAUUUUCUCUACUUCUGCAC
Long non-coding RNA from Mastomys coucha (southern multimammate mouse), 735 nucleotides. RefSeq lists it as uncharacterized. The transcript has 3 exons. The record is from RefSeq and is a predicted model, not a curated record. NCBI's taxonomy places the organism in Eukaryota, Metazoa, Chordata, Mammalia, Rodentia, Muridae.